This 238-nucleotide long non-coding RNA is filed under the name Amborella trichopoda. RNAcentral describes it as "long non-coding RNA (ATRI_LNC000960)". The record is from RNAcentral. Lineage: Eukaryota; Viridiplantae; Streptophyta; Magnoliopsida; Amborellales; Amborellaceae.
UCUAGAAGAAUGUCUAGACUCACCAUUUGAAUGAAAGUCGGCCAUGGCAAAGCACUUUUUUCUUCAUCGGGAUGUUACCACGGAAUCGGGUGUUUUGUUUUCGAAUCACUUUCUGCUGUUCAGUCAGAAGAUGGUGACUGAAGAUGGUUUGGUAAUCGAUGUAGCUUAUUGCUUCAUUGGAUGAUGUGAUAGUAAAGUUUGAUACCAGAGAAUCCAAUUAGCAACCCCCCAACUUGAC